Molecule: long non-coding RNA, 784 nt
Organism: Magnolia sinica
Lineage: Eukaryota; Viridiplantae; Streptophyta; Magnoliopsida; Magnoliales; Magnoliaceae
Exons: 3
Source: RefSeq, a predicted model, not a curated record
AAUAACUUGAAACAACUUCCAAGUUAUAACUUACAACUUAAUUUACAAAAAGUAAGCGCAACUUAUAAAAUAUAAAAAAUAAACAUACUUGAAAUAAUUGUAGAGAGAUUAGAGUAAGAGAGAGAGAGAGAGAGUAAGAGAUUUAGAAAUUUGGAGUAAAGAAUAGUGAAAUUGGAGGGGAUAUGAGUGCCUAUGUAUAGGCAAAAGUUCUCCAAAUUGAAAAAUAAAAAAUAAAAAAAUUGCUUCCACUUUGGCUAUUGGGAAAUAAGUGAUCGCAUAUGCAGUAUGUGAUCGCAUAUUGGUCACAUAUAAAAGUAUGCCAUGGCAUACUUACCAAGAUCGCAUAUGCCAUCAUGGCAUAUGCGAUUCAAUCCACAUUAUGCACAUAUGCGAUCGCAUUUGACAACUAUGCCUACUGUAGCUUAAAAAGCAUCUUGUCACUGCCAGCUAUGUUAGUGAUACCAUGUCAAAGUUGGAUGAAGAAGCUAAGAGUGUUGGUGUUGCGAUCCUUUGUGAAAGGGGCCUGGAUCUUGGAAUAUUGGAGUUCUACCAUAGUGGAAGUUACCUUGCAAUUUCAGGUUCUGUUAUGAUAUCCGAUAUUACAGUGUGGUGAUGCGAGAGGAUUCUGUUGCGGAAAUUGACAAAAAUGACAGUUGUGGUGAAGUUUAUAUAAUCAAUAGAGGCUUCUGUUGUGGUUCGUAGAUGUCGUAGAGCAUCAAAGAUGCCUGCCCUAUUGUCUGCUGGUCUCAUCUUCUGUUUUGUGGUUGUGAUAUGCCGAGUAGAU